RNAcentral lists this ribosomal RNA (506 nucleotides) under uncultured bacterium. Its description in RNAcentral is "bacterial SSU rRNA". It matches the Rfam family "Bacterial small subunit ribosomal RNA", at positions 24 to 518 of the family's 1533-position model. The record is from RNAcentral.
UCAGGAUGAACGCUAGCUACAGGCUUAACACAUGCAAGUCGAGGGGCAGCAUGAUCAAAGCUUGCUUUGAUUGAUGGCGACCGGCGCACGGGUGAGUAACGCGUAUCCAACCUUCCCCUUAGUAGGGCAUAGCCCGGCGAAAGUCGGAUUAACACCCUAUGUUGUUCAUUGAGAGCAUUUGACGUGAACCAAAGAUUCAUCGCUAAGGGAUGGGGAUGCGUCUGAUUAGGUAGUCGGCGGGGUAACGGCCCACCGAGCCGACGAUCAGUAGGGGUUCUGAGAGGAAGGUCCCCCACAUUGGAACCGAGACACGGUCCAAACUCCUACGGGAGGCAGCAGUGAGGAAUAUUGGUCAAUGGACGGAAGUCUGAACCAGCCAAGUAAGCGUGCAGGAUGACGGCCCUAUGGGUUGUAAACUGCUUUUAUAUAGGGAUAAAGUCGGGGACGUGUCCCCGUUUGUAGGUACUAUAUGAAUAAGGACCGGCUAAUUCCGUGCCAGCAGCCGC